UGGGGAAUUUUGGACAAUGGGCGAAAGCCUGAUCCAGCAAUGCCGCGUGUGUGAAGAAGGCCUUCGGGUUGUAAAGCACUUUUGUCCGGAAAGAAAUCCUUGGCUCUAAUACAGUCGGGGGAUGACGGUACCGGAGGAAUAAGCACCGGCUAACUACGUGCCAGCAGCCGCGGUAAUACGUAGGGUGCAAGCGUUAAUCGGAAUUACUGGGCGUAAAGCGUGCGCAGGCGGUUUGCUAAGACCGAUGUGAAAUCCCCGGGCUCAACCUGGGAACUGCAUUGGUGACUGGCAGGCUAGAGUAUGGCAGAGGGGGGUAGAAUUCCACGUGUAGCAGUGAAAUGCGUAGAGAUGUGGAGGAAUACCGAUGGCGAAGGCAGCCCCCUGGGCCAAUACUGACGCUCAUGCACGAAAAGCGUGGGGAGCAAACAGGAUUAGAUACCCUGGUAGUCCACGCCCUAAAACGAUGUCAACUAGUUGUUGGGGAUUCAUUUCCUUAGUAACGUAGCUAACGCGUGAAGUUGACCGCCUGGGGAGUACGGUCGCAAGAUUAAAACUCAAAGGAAUUGACGGGGUCAUAGCUGUUUCCU
RNAcentral lists this ribosomal RNA (587 nucleotides) under uncultured bacterium. RNAcentral's name for it is "partial 16S ribosomal RNA". It matches the Rfam family "Bacterial small subunit ribosomal RNA", at positions 355 to 1375 of the family's 1533-position model. The record is from RNAcentral.